CACGUAGUUAGCCGGGGCUUCUUGGUCAGGUACCGUCAUUUUCUUCCCUGCUGAUAGAGCUUUACGUACCGAGAUACUUCUUCACUCACGCGGCGUCGCUGCAUCAGGGUUUCCCCCAUUGUGCAAUAUUCCCCACUGCUGCCUCCCGUAGGAGUUUGGGCCGUGUCUCAGUCCCAAUGUGGCCGUCCACCCUCUCAGGCCGGCUACUGAUCGCUGCCUUGGUGGGCCGUUACCCCGCCAACUAGCUAAUCAGACGCGGAUCCAUCGUAUACCACCGGAGUUUUUCACACUGCCCCAUGCGGAGCCGUGCGCUUAUGCGGUAUUAGCACCUAUUUCUAAGUGUUAUCCCCCGGUAUACGGCAGGUUAUCCACGCGUUACUCACCCGUCCGCCACUAACUCAUAAAUCACUAGGUUUCAAUAUGAGUCCGUUCGACUUGCAUGUGUUAAGCACGCCGCCAGCGUUCAUCCUGAGCCAGGAUCAAACUCU
Molecule: ribosomal RNA, 488 nt
Filed under: uncultured Lachnospiraceae bacterium
Lineage: Bacteria; Bacillati; Bacillota; Clostridia; Lachnospirales; Lachnospiraceae
Description: partial 16S ribosomal RNA
Source: RNAcentral